This 3057-nucleotide long non-coding RNA is filed under the name Sorghum bicolor (sorghum). RNAcentral describes it as "long non-coding RNA (SBIC_LNC013647)". Lineage: Eukaryota; Viridiplantae; Streptophyta; Magnoliopsida; Poales; Poaceae. The record is from RNAcentral.
CCAAAGAAUUCCCCUCUUUAUAGUACGGCUAUCUAUCCUAAAUGUGAUCACACCCUCUAUGGUGUCUUGAUCACCAAAACCAAAACCCUAAGCAAUACCUUCGCCUUGAUCUCCAUAGAGUUUUGUUUUUCUCUUUCUUCUGUUCCAAGUUGAGCACUUGAUCAUCUUGUGGUCAUCACCAUCAUCACCAUGAUCAUCACUUGCUCCAUCACUUGGCAUGUACCAACCUCAUUAAGUCUACACACACUUAGUAUAGAGGUUAGUACUAGGGUUUCAUCAAUUAUCCAAAACCAAACUAGGGCUUUCACAUGUCUCUUAUUCUUGAUCAGCUAUAACUCUGGAGUUUUUUUGCAGAUUUUCAAAUAAAACUCAGAGAUUCCUUGUAUGACUCUCUCUCAUAUCUCUCUUUUGUGGUAUUUGUGGUAUAAGGCAUAGUGACAUUGCCUUCUCUCUCACCCUACUCUAAUAAGGCUUUAAUAUCUGGAGCUCAUAGGUGGGAGAUAAAGUAUACAUACUUACAAGACAUUUAUUGUAUAGUCAAACCAUGGAUCCAAAGAAACAAAUCAAUAAGCCAAAUCAAGAUGUGCAUGUGUGGCGAAUGAAUGGUGUAUGGUGAUGAUGGUGAUAACAAUGGUGAAAGUCUAAUUCUACUUUUGCUCUUUUGAGGGGAUACAUAACUUCCUUGCUUUUUUGAAACUUUAUGAGGAGAAUGAGAUUCUCUUCUUUUUCUUUCCUCUCAGGUGGGUAUCUUGUACCCCUAAUUCUACUGUCGGACACUUGUCCAUUUUUACCUCUCGUCUUACUUUUUCUUUCUUUCAAGGUUCCGGGCACUUGCCCCUUUUUAUUUCCUCAUUUAUUUUUUUUCUUUUCUUCUCUUUUUUUCAGAGCACUCAUCUGUUGAGAUAAUAUAGCAAGUGGAAGUAGCAAGAUAACUUGAGCAUUUGUUUCACAAGGGAAAACAGAAAUAUUUUUGGCUAUUCUCUCCCGGAUUAGGAGUAGAAUAUUUUUAGGUGAUUCUGGAGAUGGAAAUGGAUGGAUAUAUGUGGAUGGUACUUUCGGAGUAGAAGUAGCAUAUAUGAGUGAACGUGCAAGCUUUACAUUAUAACAGUUAUGUCUAAACUUGAGAGCGAACUUCAAAUUUGCAAAUUAGGCAGAACAACUAUUCAUCAUAUCCAUGCUAGAGUUUUAUUAUUAAGAUUCAGAUUAGCAUAGCCACUUUAUUUAUUUAUUAAACACACUAAGCAAAAGAUAUAUAUAUAUAUAUAAGCACAAAAUCUUUAUUUGGUUUUUUAUAGUUUAUGUAUUUUAAUAUUCUAACAUAAUAUAAGUAUAAAGAUAGGUAUAAAUACUUAGCGAGAUAAAUGGGGGUGCUCUCCCCCAAGCUGAAUUUUGACGUAAUUUCUCUUGAUGUAGCUAGCAGGUGGCAGAGGUGUAUUUGAAAGUCAGCAGCAUUCUGACAGCGAUUAGAAUGUCCUCCGUCUGCUAGUCUUCUUGAUUCUUAAAUUCUGUGGAGCUCAAAUAGACAACAAAGCUUGUGGAACUAAUUAAGUGUUAGCAUAAAUAUCUAGCCUUCAUCAUGUUGAGCUUCCUCAAUAAAUAUUACUUUCUGUUUUUAUAUUUUUAUUUUAUAAAGCAGAAAAGAAAUAUUUAUUUUAUUUUUAUGCCACCACAGUGAAGGUACUUAUGGGUUUUAUGCCACUCGUAUACUCACAUGGGGCUUAGUAUUUUUUAACAUUUAUAUUUUCUUUUUAAGAUAGCAUGAUUAACUAAUAAUCUAUUUAAGGAAAGUAAAUAAUUAAAGGGAAAAGGGAAUGCAGAAAGGAUAAAUAUGGAUAACUACCGAUCUUAUCUUUCAACGAGGGUUCAAUGUUUCAAGUCUUCUUAACAAGACUUCUCACCGUGUUCAUUCUUCAGGUGCGUCAUUUGAUUCAGGUGCGGACCUUGACGUCUGCACCUCUUCGUUUGCCCAGCAGUUCGAAGUGCGGCGUUGGCAGUAUCCUGCUCAGUGUGUUUGUGCCUGUAGAUCCAGGUCCUUCACUUGGUAGAGUCUGAGAGUUAUAAAACUCCUCCGUGUUUUGCUUGAAGUGUACCUGCUCAUAGAGACAAGGCAGAGAUCAAGUGCAUGGGUCCUGUUGGUGGAAAACACCAAUAGAACCUAAAGUGUAUUUGUUCUUCUCUAACCCUAAGCAUAGUGAGCAAGACAAAGUUGAUGGAUGAAAAGUUCAUAAGUGUAGCACUUAUAACAUUUGUCAGAUCAGAUCGCUCAACCUUAUGGAAUGAUAAUCUAUCUAUGUAUAUGUCUUUUUCUUUAUAUCUCUCAAUGAUUGAAUGUGUAACAUUUUAGCUCAUAUGAUUAGGAGUGUGGGAUCAUGGAGGUAGUACUAAGAACAAAGAUUAAAGGACUAAACAUGCUGAAUCAGUUGGGUUGGUUAAUUUGGAGUUAUAAAUCAUACAUGUUUGUCUCUUUAUUUAUGUGAACACUAGAACCAAGGAAAAACUUAUAAAAGUGAUAGUCAAGUACCUUAAGAUGUUACCUUACUUGAAGAGUAAUGGUACAGUAUCACCUUGUGGAAGCUUUCCUUUCUUAGCGGUUGUGCAUCAUGUUUGUGGCACCCUCCAUGGGUCAUCUCUUAUGAGCUACGUCUUCCUUGUGUAAAUUGUUAAACUUGAUGUGUUUCUCACUUCAUCUCCGAUGUGAGUUUAUCUAAGGACAUCCCAGGUUGAUAUUGAAAGUUUCUCUGCAGGGGUUAGUCCGACAAAAAUAUACCAAUGUCUACACAAGCAGUUUUUAGUUUAAUAACCGAACUAGACUACAUGUCUAAUCAAAUUAAGGAAGGCUGUUUAACCUAAGCACCAUGCUUAAUUUAAAAGCCAAUAGAAGUAUGUGCAGUACUUCCAAACUAACACUUACUAGUAAAUAGAUAAAGGUAACAUGACAGCAUUUAUAGAGAUCUACUCAAGUGGAGAUGAAGUAGUGUGAUUAGUAUUUAACAUAUUGAGCAUGUCUUAAAGGUAGGGACAACCAACAUAGCAACAUGGCAAAGGAUGUUUUAUGUA